Molecule: ribosomal RNA, 253 nt
Filed under: uncultured bacterium
Lineage: Bacteria
Description: partial 16S ribosomal RNA
Rfam family: Bacterial small subunit ribosomal RNA
Source: RNAcentral
UACGUAGGGGGCAAGCGUUGUCCGGAAUCAUUGGGCGUAAAGAGCGCGUAGGCGGCCCUGUAAGUCCGCUGUGAAAGUCAAGGGCUCAACCCUUGAAUGCCGGUGGAUACUGCAGGGCUAGAGUCCGGAAGAGGCGAGUGGAAUUCCCAGUGUAGAGGUGAAAUUCGUAGAUAUUGGGAAGAACACCAGUGGCGAAGGCGGCUCACUGGCCCGUAACUGACGCUGAGGUGCGAAAGCGUGGGGAGCAAACAGG